AAAAAAAAAAAAAAAAAAAAAAAAAAAAAAAAAAAAAAAAAAGGACUAAACAAUUUUAGUAUAAAUA
RNAcentral lists this transfer RNA (67 nucleotides) under Culex pipiens pipiens. RNAcentral describes it as "tRNA-Gly". Lineage: Eukaryota; Metazoa; Arthropoda; Insecta; Diptera; Culicidae. The record is from RNAcentral.